This 74-nucleotide transfer RNA is filed under the name Anneissia japonica. RNAcentral's name for it is "tRNA-Thr". It matches the Rfam family "tRNA". Rfam says of the family: Transfer RNA (tRNA) molecules are approximately 80 nucleotides in length. Their secondary structure includes four short double-helical elements and three loops (D, anti-codon, and T loops). The record is from RNAcentral. Lineage: Eukaryota; Metazoa; Echinodermata; Crinoidea; Comatulida; Comatulidae.
GGCGCUGUGGCUUAGUUGGUUAAAGCGCCUGUCUAGUAAACAGGAGAUCUCCAGUUCGAAUCCGGGCAGUGCCU